GGGACAUGUAUGAUCGGGGAAGGCGGGCCCUGCCGGCAGUCAGACUCAAAUGACCAAUCUGAUUGGUGGAGUGCUAACCCGCAAAUGAUGAGCAGGAUGGGCGUGUCUAGAGUCUCUCAAAAUCUGACAAUUUGUUUUUUAAAUUGCCCUUCGUCGAUCUGAAAUUAAGACAGAUUCAGCAACUUGAUGGCCUAUUUCUUGCUUUAAAAGGUUUUUAGAAACA
Long non-coding RNA from Etheostoma cragini (Arkansas darter), 223 nucleotides. RefSeq lists it as uncharacterized. The transcript has 4 exons. The record is from RefSeq and is a predicted model, not a curated record. Lineage: Eukaryota; Metazoa; Chordata; Actinopteri; Perciformes; Percidae.